Drosophila ficusphila is the source of this 724-nucleotide long non-coding RNA. RefSeq lists it as uncharacterized. The record is from RefSeq and is a predicted model, not a curated record. The transcript is spliced from 3 exons. Lineage: Eukaryota; Metazoa; Arthropoda; Insecta; Diptera; Drosophilidae.
AUUUUUGCUGGCAUAGUUCUAGGAAAGCAGGAGCUCCACAGCAAAACAUCUUUUCAUUUGUAACACAUUUGCCUUUGAAAAUAUUAUCGUUCGGUGACCUUUUGCCUUAGGUUUCCCAAUGGUCAGUGCCCACUGUUUGUGGACCUAUUUGUAUAAGUUAACGUGAGCAAUAUUUACUUACUGGCCUGAUAAGCAGUGCCUUUGCACGGAGAUUGGACGAGGGCAGGACGCUCUGCUCCUCAGACAGGCUAUUAAAAUCUGAAGUAUCAACUAUCCCAACCUCUUUCCCUCUCUUUCGCUCUCACACACACAGACCGAAUGCCGAACGAACCCACUGUGCAGUCACGGAAUGGAAAAUCUAGUAGUACGAUCCAAUCAGUACUAGUGAAACAUCCAUUGCAUGGGAUUAAUAAAACUAAGGGGUGUGCUUCAUAGGACAUGAAGAAAAUCAAAGUAAAAACUUUCAAAAAUGGAACUGAUGGGUUUUUCAAGGUGGCAUAUCCUAAUCAAAAGUUACAAAAGGUAAAAAGAUUGUGUAAAAAAAAUCAUGAAUAUGAUAUUAUUUUACACUUUUAAAAUAACUAAGAUGAAAAUAGGAACACCAUCGCCAACUUUUAUAUUUUAAAAGCAACAUUGACAACUGAGCAAUGAAUUUGUCGAAAAUUAUGCAAUGCAAAUAUAAACUAAAUGCGUUUCCUAAAUAUGUUUGUAGGUAAAAAGAAAA